AUGAUGGACUAUAGGACAGGACUGCUGCUUUUAACUAUCUGCUGGGCAGGUGUUGAUGGUCAGACUCUGACAGAAUCUGAACCAGCAGUUAAAAAGCCUGGAGAAUCCCACAAACUGACCUGUACAACAUCUGGAUUGUCAUUCAGUAGCUACUACAUGGCCUGGGUCAGACAGGCUCCUGGAAAAGGGCUGGAGUGGAUUGCAACUAUCAGUAGCAGUGGUAGUGGCAAAUACUACUCUCAGUCAGUUCAAUGCCGGUUCACCAUCUCCAGAGACAACAGCAGAGAGCAGGUGUAUCUGCAGAUGAACAGUCUGAAGACUGAAGAUUCUGCUGUUUAUUAUUGUGCUCGAGAGUAUCUGAGCAGCUCUCUAGAGGCUCUGAAUGUCUGUGGCUUCAAACAUGUGCAACACUGAUACAACAAAAAAGUAUUUUAUGUAAAACUCCAA
Molecule: non-coding RNA, 447 nt
Organism: Thunnus maccoyii (southern bluefin tuna)
Lineage: Eukaryota; Metazoa; Chordata; Actinopteri; Scombriformes; Scombridae
Source: the annotation of a RefSeq genome assembly